This 497-nucleotide ribosomal RNA is filed under the name uncultured bacterium. RNAcentral describes it as "partial 16S ribosomal RNA". It matches the Rfam family "Bacterial small subunit ribosomal RNA", at positions 28 to 507 of the family's 1533-position model. The record is from RNAcentral.
GAUGAACGCUGGCGGCGUGCCUAAUACAUGCAAGUCGAGCGAACAGACGAGGAGCUUGCUCCUCUGACGUUAGCGGCGGACGGGUGAGUAACACGUGGAUAACCUACCUAUAAGACUGGGAUAACUUCGGGAAACCGGAGCUAAUACCGGAUAAUCUAUUGAACCGCAUGGUUCAAUAGUGAAAGACGGUUUUGCUGUCACUUAUCGAUGGAUCCGCGCCGCAUUAGCUAGUUGGUAAGGUAACGGCUUACCAAGGCAACGAUGCGUAGACGACCUGAGAGGGUGAUCGGCCACACUGGAACUGAGACACGGUCCAGACUCCUACGGGAGGCAGCAGUAGGGAAUCUUCCGCAAUGGGCGAAAGCAUGACGGAGCAACGCCGCGUGAGUGAUGAAGGUCUUCGGAUCGUAAAACUCUGUUAUUAGGGAAGAACAAAUGUGUAAGUAACUAUGCACGUCUUGACGGUACCUAAUCAGAAAGCCACGGCUAACUACGUG